GUGUUCGUAGAAAGAAGAGAUGGUUGGCAUCUCCCCCAAUAGGGACAGGAAGUCGGGAACAGCCUUCGGGCUUUACAUGUUGCCACACACAUCCGCGGUUAAGGCUACCACUUCGGUGGAUCUUACCCCAACUUUAU
Nicotiana attenuata is the source of this 137-nucleotide non-coding RNA. NCBI's taxonomy places the organism in Eukaryota, Viridiplantae, Streptophyta, Magnoliopsida, Solanales, Solanaceae. The record is from Rfam.